This 1209-nucleotide long non-coding RNA is filed under the name Scleropages formosus (Asian bonytongue). RNAcentral's name for it is "lncRNA (ENSSFOG00015028827.1)". Lineage: Eukaryota; Metazoa; Chordata; Actinopteri; Osteoglossiformes; Osteoglossidae. The record is from RNAcentral.
AUGACAUUAUUACACACUGCAAUGAAAAUAAAAAACCCCUCUGCUGUCAUUGUUGGCAACAUGUUGACACCAUAUACCCACACACAGUUAACUAGUGUCUUACUAAUAUCAGGUUUAGUGAAACCUCAGAGUGCAGUGUUAGUCUCAGCAGCCAACACUUUUAACCCAAGUUUUCCAGUUAUUUCACACAUGGAUAAUAAUCCACCUUUAUUUUUCCAGCAACAGGGAGUUGAUGGCGACAUAAAGGAAGAGCCCCAGAGGAGAUCUGCAAGGCUAUCAGCGAAACCUGCUCCUCCAAAGCUGGAACCAAAACCAAAAAAGGCAGCUAAGAAGGAGAAAGUUGUCAACGACAAAAAGGAAGACAAAAAGUCUAAGGGAAAGAAAGGGAAGACAGAUGAUGAAGCCAUGGAGGAGAACCACUCGGAAAAUGGAGACGCAAAAGCUAACAAGGUGGAGGAGACUCCUGAGCAGCCGGAGAAGGAUGAGGCAAAGUCUGAGUAGUAAUGCCUCCCUCACAUCCCUUUCUUCAACAGCCACCGAAAUGUUUCAUAGUUUUCCGGAAACCUCCAUCACUUGUAAACAGAGGAAUAUUUUUAUCAGCGGUUUUAUAAAUAUCGUUACAGGUUUUUAGCACAAUUCCAGGCUAAGCAUUGAGCAACUUGCCGUUUUGCAGUACUCUUGUCAAGUAUCUGCAAAGUAAGCAAAGGCCACACCCCCCUCCUUUUUUAUUUUUAAGAAUUUUUUGUGAUUGUUACUAGAUUGUUGAGCAUAGGAAAUACUACCAGCUGGUUUUUCACCGAGUAUUGUCACAACCCGUGUUUUUGCCCUUCCGGAAGUGUUUUACUUCUGUGGUUAGUUUGUCGUCUGUAUGUGCAGUGUCGUUUCUUGGUUUUGUUUUGAAAUGUUUUGGAUUUAUUCAGGGAGGGGUGUCCCGCAUAAAAUGGUAUGUCUAUAACAGAAUAGCUAAACUGAAGACAUUCCAGCUGUAUAUUUUUUUUUUUUUUGGAUUUUUCCCCUCUUUAAAUAAUGUUAGGAAUUAUGAAUAGUAAAAACUUGUGUGGUCACACUAUAGUUUUUUUUUUUUUUUUUUUUUUUUUUUUAAACACUAUCAAAAUUCAGACAUCUAAUGAAUGAUGCAGUUAUCUGUGUGUACCCAUUAUGUUGUGGAUGUCUAAUAAAAAUAAUCCUUGGAAUUUUUUUUCUUCUUUC